GUGAGAACGUAGCGAAAUGCGAUACUUGGUGUGAAUUGCAGAAUCCCGUGAACCAUCGAGUCUUUGAACGCAAGUUGCGCCCGAAGCCAUUAGGCCGAGGGCACGCCUGCCUGGGCGUCACACGUCGUUGCCCCCCCAUCUACUCCUUCGGGAUUGCGGGGGGCGGAUGAUGGCCUCCCGUGCGCCUCGCCGCGCGGUUGGCAUAAAUGCCAAGUCCUCGGCGACGCACGCCACGACAAUCGGUGGUUGCGAAACCUCGGUUGCCCGUCGUGUGCGGUCGUCGCGCAUCGAGGGCUCGAAAAAAUUGCCGGGUUCCGGCUCGGCUUUCAACGCGACCCCAGGUCAGGCGGGGUUACCCGCUGAAUUUAAGCAUAUCAAUAAGCGGAGGA
RNAcentral lists this unclassified non-coding RNA (389 nucleotides) under soil metagenome. RNAcentral describes it as "partial contains 5.8S ribosomal RNA, internal transcribed spacer 2, and large subunit ribosomal RNA". The stretch from base 4 to 120 matches the Rfam family "5.8S ribosomal RNA", at positions 40 to 154 of the family's 154-position model. The record is from RNAcentral.